AUUGAACGCUGGCGGAAUGCUUUACACAUGCAAGUCGAGCGGCAGCACGGGGGCAACCCUGGUGGCGAGCGGCGAACGGGUGAGUAAUACAUCGGAACAUGCCCAGUCGUGGGGGAUAACACUUCGAAAGAAGUGCUAAUACCGCAUACGUCCUGAGGGAGAAAGCGGGGGAUCGCAAGACCUCGCGCGAUUGGAGUGGCCGAUGUCAGAUUAGCUAGUUGGUGGGGUAAAGGCCUACCAAGGCAACGAUCUGUAGCUGGUCUGAGAGGAUGAUCAGCCAACCUGGGACCGAGACACGGCCCCGGCUCCCUAGGGAGGCCGGCAUUGGGAAAUUUUGGAAAAUGGGGCAACCCUGAUCCAGCCAUUCCGCGUGAGUGAAGAAGGCCUUCGGGUUGUAAAGCUCUUUCGGCAGGAACGAAACGGCGAGCUCUAACAUAGCUUGCUAAUGACGGUACCUGAAGAAGAAGCACCGGCUAACUACGUG
This 484-nucleotide ribosomal RNA is filed under the name uncultured bacterium. RNAcentral describes it as "partial 16S ribosomal RNA". It matches the Rfam family "Bacterial small subunit ribosomal RNA", at positions 30 to 507 of the family's 1533-position model. The record is from RNAcentral.